RNAcentral lists this ribosomal RNA (995 nucleotides) under Varicellaria velata. RNAcentral describes it as "SSU rRNA". It matches the Rfam family "Bacterial small subunit ribosomal RNA", at positions 335 to 1295 of the family's 1533-position model. The record is from RNAcentral. Lineage: Eukaryota; Fungi; Ascomycota; Lecanoromycetes; Pertusariales; Pertusariaceae.
UAGCCUAAUGGCUGAACNGCAACUUGGAGGAAUGUAUAGCGAAAGCUAGUUGCAUUAAUUAACGGAGUUAGUGUGGCAUUGACUAUGUCAAUUAAAAUUCUAGGUAGAGUUAUGAUUAUGACAUUUUCUACCUAUGUGUCUUGACCAAAUCACGUGCCAGCAGUCGCGGCAAUACGUGGAAGACUAGUGUUAUUCAUCUUUAGUAGGUUUAAAGCGUACUUAGACGGUAAAUUCAGCCCAAUGAAUAAGGGUACUGAUAAGACUAGAGUUUUAUACGAGGGGGAACGGGAGUACUACCAGUGUAGAGAUGAAAUAUUUUGAUACUGCUAGGACUGGCAACGGCGAAAGCAACCCUUUAUGUAAAAACUGACGUUGAAGGACGAAGGCUUGGUUCACCAACAGGAUUAGUUACCCCAGCAGUCUGAGCAGACAAUUAUGAAUGUCAUAGAUAUAAAAGAUUACUACCUAAAUAAAUAUAAAUAGAAAGUACUACCAGGAUAAUUAUAGAUAGAUAACACUACCACCUGAAUAAACAUAGUGAUAACCUGUCUAUAAAUAUUGUAAUAUCCUGACUGUAAGUACUGUAGUAACCUGUCUAUAAAUGAAAGUGUAAGCAUUCCACCUCAAGAGUAAUGCGGCAACGCAGAAACUGAAAUCAUUAGACCGUUUCUGAAACCAGUAGUGAAGUAUGUUGUUUAAUUAGGUAGUCCGCUAAAAACCUCACCACAAUUUGUAUGUUUAUUUUCUAUAAACACAAGCGUUGCACGGCUGUCUUCAGUUAAUGUCGUGAGAUUUUGGUUAGUUCCAUCAAUUAACGUAAACCCUUGCUUUAUUUAAUUUAUAAAGUAGUUCUCCGCUAGAUUGGAUCAGAUAACAGGGACUAAGACAAGUCAUCAUGACCUAAACAUUGUGGGCUAUAGACGUGCUACAUAAGACUACACAAAGGGAUGCGAAAUUGUGAAAUUGAGCUAAUCCCCUAAAUACGCAAUAUAAUA